AAAAGUUAUGUAAGGGCGUAUGGGGGAUGCCUAGGCUCUCAGAGGCGAAGAAGGACGUGAUAAGCUGCGAAAAGUUGCGUGUAUUGGCACAUACGAGAUGAUACGCAAAUAUCCGAAUGGGGCAACCCAGUACAUUGAAGAUGUACUACACCGUAAAGGUGGGCAAACCCGCUGAACUGAAACAUCUAAGUAGGCGGAGGAGAAGAAAACAAAAGUGAUUCCCAGAGUAGUGGCGAGCGAAAUGGGAGGAGCCCAAACCAAUAAUGUUUCGGCAUUAUUGGGGUUGUAGGACUGCGAUAUUUGCUGUUUAUUGAAUUAGAAUACUUUGGAAAGAGUAACCACAGAGGGUGAUAGUCCCGUAUAGGCAAGAUAAAUAAGUAAUAGCAGUAUCCUGAGUAGGGCGGGGCACGUGGAACCCUGUCUGAAACUGCCGGGACCAUCCGGUAAGGCUAAAUACUCCUGAGAGACCGAUAGUGGACUAGUACCGUGAGGGAAAGGUGAAAAGCACCGUGAAUAACGGAGUGAAAAAGACCCUGAAACCAUACGCUUACAAGCGGUCGGAGCGGCUUAUGCCGUGACGGCGUGCCUUUUGCAUAAUGAGCCUACGAGUUACUGUUACUGGCAAGGAUAAGCACUUAAGGUGCGCAUUCGUAGCGAAAGCGAGUCUGAAUAGGGCGCUGAAGUCAGUAGGAGUAGACGCGAAACCUGGUGAUCUACCCUUGGGCAGGUUGAAGCACUGGUAACACAGUGUGGAGGACCGAACUGGUUGUCGUUGAAAAGACUUCGGAUGACCUGAGGGUAGGGGUGAAAGGCCAAUCAAACUGGGAAAUAGCUCGUACUCCCCGAAAUGCAUUUAGGUGCAGCGUUGUGACAAAAGUUUAAUAGAGGUAGAGCUACUGAUUGGAUGCGGGGGUUUCACCGCCUACCAAUUCCUGACAAACUCCGAAUGCUAAUAAAUAUUGAUCAGCAGUGAGGGCAUGGGUGCUAAGGUCCAUGUCCGAGAGGGAAAGAACCCAGACCAACAGCUAAGGUCCCUAAAUAUAUGCUAAGUUGAAACAACGCGGUUGAACUGCAUUGACAGCUAGGAUGUUGGCUUGGAAGCAGCCAUUCAUUUAAAGAGUGCGUAACAGCUCACUAGUCGAGUGCUUUGGCAUGGAUAAUAAUCGGGCAUAAGCUAUUUACCGAAGCUGUGGGAUGUUUAAGACAUCGGUAGGGGAGCAUUCCAGCGACGUUGAAGGUAAGAGGACAACUCUUGCUGGAGUUUCUGGAAAAGCAAAUGUAGGUAUAAGUAACGAUAAAGGAGGUGAGAAACCUCCUCGCCGAAAGACUAAGGUUUCCUGAUCAACGCUAAUCGGAUCAGGGUUAGUCGGGGCCUAAGGGAUAGCCGAACGGCGUACCCGAUGGACGAACCGGUUAAUAUUCCGGUACUAAUUAUGUGAGCGAUGUGGAGACGGAGAUGUGACGGUCCUGCCAGCUGACGGAAUAGCUGGUUAAAGGGUGUAGGCGUUGAUCGGGGUAGGCAAAUCCGCCCUGAGAGCUGAACCUGACAGUACUCUGAGUGCUUGUACAAGGAGAUAUGGACAAAGUAACGGCGCUCCCAAGAAAAUCCGCUAAGCAUAUUGCAUGAUUACCCGUACCAUAAACCGACACAGGUGGUUGGGUUGAGUAUACUAAGGCGCUCGAGUGAUUCGCGGUUAAGGAACUAGGCAAAAUAGUUCUGUAACUUCGGGAUAAAGAACGCUCACCUAACCGGUGAGCCGCAGAGAAUAGACCCAGGCGACUGUUUAACAAAAACACAUGGCUAUGCUAAAUCGAAAGAUACAGUAUAUAGCCUGACACCUGCCCGGUGCUGGAAGGUUAAGAGGAGAUGUCAUCGCAAGAGAAGCAUUGAAUUGAAGCCCCAGUAAACGGCGGCCGUAACUAUAACGGUCCUAAGGUAGCGAAAUUCCUUGUCGGGUAAGUUCCGACCUGCACGAAUGGUGUAACGAUCUGGGCACUGUCUCAGCCACGAGCUCGGUGAAAUUGUAGUAUCGGUGAAGAUGCCGAUUACCCGCAAUGGGACGAAAAGACCCUGUGAACCUUUACUAUAACUUCGUAUUGACUUUGAGUAAGUAAUGUGUAGGAUAGGUGGGAGGCUGUGAAGCUGGCACGCUAGUGUUGGUGGAGCCGUUGUUGAAAUACCACCCUUUGCUUACUUGGAGCCUAACUUCUGAAAAAGAGUAAGAAGGACAUUGCGUGGUGGGUAGUUUGACUGGGGUGGUCGCCUCCAAAAGAGUAACGGAGGCUUUCAAAGGUACCCUCAGCACGCUUGGUAACCGUGCGUAGAGUGUAAUGGCAUAAGGGUGCUUGACUGUGAGACCUACAAGUCGAUCAGGUGCGAAAGCAGGACAUAGUGAUCCGGUGGUUCCGUAUGGAAGGGCCAUCGCUCAUAGGAUAAAAGGUACUCCGGGGAUAACAGGCUAGUCUCCCCCAAGAGCUCACAUCGACGGGGAGGUUCGGCACCUCGAUGUCGGCUCGUCACAUCCUGGGGCUGGAGAAGGUCCCAAGGGUUG
RNAcentral lists this ribosomal RNA (2552 nucleotides) under human oral metagenome. Its description in RNAcentral is "bacterial LSU rRNA". It matches the Rfam family "Bacterial large subunit ribosomal RNA", at positions 1 to 2574 of the family's 2925-position model. The record is from RNAcentral.